GCAAGGCAUGAUGGUAUACACCUGUAAUCUCUGCUACUGGGUAGCCUAAGACUAGUAGAACACUCAGGUUUGGGAGUUCUGAGCUUCAGUGUUCUAAGCCAGUUGGUUAUCUUCACUAAGUCUGGCACCAGUAUGGCGAGCUCCUGAGAGCAAAGGGCCACCAGGCUGCCUAAGGAGGGGCAAACUGGCUCAGGCUGGAAAUGGAGCAGAUCAAAACUCCUAUGGCAGUCAGUAAUGGGAUUGGGUCCAUGAGUGGUCACUGUUCUUCAGGUCUGGAUGACAUAGGGAGAUCGAGUCUCA
Molecule: unclassified non-coding RNA, 300 nt
Organism: Phascolarctos cinereus (koala)
Lineage: Eukaryota; Metazoa; Chordata; Mammalia; Diprotodontia; Phascolarctidae
Rfam family: Metazoan signal recognition particle RNA
About the family: The signal recognition particle (SRP) is a universally conserved ribonucleoprotein. It is involved in the co-translational targeting of proteins to membranes. The eukaryotic SRP consists of a 300-nucleotide 7S RNA and six proteins: SRPs 72, 68, 54, 19, 14, and 9.
Source: Ensembl